UGAUGCGUAGCUCAGUGGUAGAGCAGCGUCCUUAUAAGUCGCAGGUCGUGGGUUCGAUUCCUGCCGCAUCAAC
RNAcentral lists this transfer RNA (73 nucleotides) under Gimesia aquarii. RNAcentral's name for it is "tRNA-Ile". It matches the Rfam family "tRNA". Rfam says of the family: Transfer RNA (tRNA) molecules are approximately 80 nucleotides in length. Their secondary structure includes four short double-helical elements and three loops (D, anti-codon, and T loops). Lineage: Bacteria; Pseudomonadati; Planctomycetota; Planctomycetia; Planctomycetales; Planctomycetaceae. The record is from RNAcentral.